GACGAACGCUGGCGGCGUGCUUAACACAUGCAAGUCGAACGGAAAGGCCCUGCUUUUGUGGGGUGCUCGAGUGGCGAACGGGUGAGUAACACGUGAGUAACCUGCCCUUGACUUUGGGAUAACUUCAGGAAACUGGGGCUAAUACCGGAUAGGAGCUCCUGCUGCAUGGUGGGGGUUGGAAAGUUUCGGCGGUUGGGGAUGGACUCGCGGCUUAUCAGCUUGUUGGUGGGGUAGUGGCUUACCAAGGCUUUGACGGGUAGCCGGCCUGAGAGGGUGACCGGCCACCUUGGGACUGGGAUUCCGCCCCGAAUCCUACGGGAGGCAGGCGUGGGGAAUAUUGGCCCAUGGGCCGAAGCCUGAUGCCGCCACCCCGGGUUCGGGGUGACGGCCUUUGGGGUGUAAACCGGCUUUCCCUGUGAAGAAGCCUGGGUUACCGUUAUGGGUAAAGAAGCACCGGCUAACUACGUG
This 468-nucleotide ribosomal RNA is filed under the name uncultured bacterium. RNAcentral's name for it is "partial 16S ribosomal RNA". It matches the Rfam family "Bacterial small subunit ribosomal RNA", at positions 28 to 507 of the family's 1533-position model. The record is from RNAcentral.